CAAAGCUAACUGGGACCCUUGGUGACCCAAGGUAACUCGGGGUGACAUUUCAUUUUGCUGGAAGAAGAAUAUGUGUUUAACACCAGGAGUCCACUGGGCAUGGUGUCAUGUGCCUAUAAUCCCAGCUACUCAGGAGGCUGAGGCAGGAGGAUUGCUUGAGACCAGGAGUUUGAGGCCAGCCUGCACAAUAUAGCAAGACCCCGUCUCAACAACAACAACAACAACAACAACA
This 232-nucleotide long non-coding RNA is filed under the name Gorilla gorilla gorilla (western lowland gorilla). RNAcentral describes it as "lncRNA (ENSGGOG00000044332.1)". Lineage: Eukaryota; Metazoa; Chordata; Mammalia; Primates; Hominidae. The record is from RNAcentral.